This 28-nucleotide non-coding RNA is filed under the name Mus musculus (house mouse). The record is from RNAcentral. Lineage: Eukaryota; Metazoa; Chordata; Mammalia; Rodentia; Muridae.
UGGCUCUACUGAAAAUGGUGAUGCAUGC